GUAGGUGAACCUGCGGAGGGAUCAUUAACACUAUUUGGCUAGUAUUGUUUAGUAUCUCGCAAGAGAGAAAACAUGAUGUUAGUUCAAAUUUUCACACACCUGUCGAAUUCGAUUACUUCGGUAAUCAAUCAUCUGUUUCAAGUAUUAGGUUGUAACUGUGACGAAGUGAGUCCAUAGCGGGCGACUUUACAACUGUGACUUGAGACGGACCCAAUUUUUGGGGAUGUUACACUUCAAAUAUCUCGACCAC
RNAcentral lists this unclassified non-coding RNA (250 nucleotides) under plant metagenome. RNAcentral describes it as "partial contains small subunit ribosomal RNA, internal transcribed spacer 1, and 5.8S ribosomal RNA". The record is from RNAcentral.